GCCAAGCUGGCUCAAAGAGCAAGCAGCCACCUCUGCAAGCGUGCUCCUGGGGCAGUUGGACCAGCCUUUAACCUCACCCACUCAAAGAAGCAUGGAUGGCCAGGUUCCAACAGCCUGAGUGGCUGCCACCUGAUGGCUGAUGGAGCAGAGUCCUGAGGAAAAGCAGAUGGCACUGCUUUGUAUGCCCUUCUUUGUCUCUUUUGAUCUUUUCCAUUUAAAGUCUGUUUUAUCGGAGACUAGGAUUGCAACCCCUGCUUUUUUUUUUUUCUCUUCAUUUGCUUGGUAAAUAUUCCUCCAUCCCUUUAUUUUGAGCCUGUGUGUGUCUUUGCAUGUGAGAUUGGUCUCCUGAAUACAGCACACCAAUGGGUCUUGAGUGUUUUUCCAACUUGCCAGUCUGUGUCUUUUAACUGGGACAUUUAGCCUAUUUACAUUUAAGGUUAAUAUUGUUACAUGUGAAAUUUAUCCUGCCAUGAUGUUGCUAGCUAUUUAUUUUUCCCAUUAGUUAAUGCAGUUUCUUUAUAGUGUUGAUGGUCAUUACAACUUGGUAUGUUUUAGUAGUGGCUCAUACUGUUUGUCCCUUCCCAUGUUUAGUGCUUCCUUCGGAGCUCUUGCAAGGCAAGAAUGUGGAUUUAUUUCUUGUAAGGCAAAUAUGUGGAUUUCUAUCUGGGUGCUGUAGUCUAUGGCCUCUACCCCAAGAGUCAUUACUUUUUAAAAUGCAAUUCAAAUUACCAUAAAACAUUUACAGCCUAGGGAAAGGCUUACGGCAUUAGAAUCCUUAUUUAUAGGAUUAUUUUGUGUUUUUUUGAGAUAUGGUCUCUGUCUGUCAUCCAGGCAGAAGUGCAGUGGCUUGGUCAUAAUUCACUGCAGCCCUGAACUCUGAGUCCAAGCCAUCCUUGUGCCUUAGUCUCCCAACUAGUUGGAUCUACAAGCAUAAGUCACCAUGCCUGGCUAAUUUAAAAAAAAAUUUUUUUUGUCGAGAUUAUGUUAUCACCAUGUUGCUCUGGCUGGUUUCAAAUCCCUGGCCUCAAGUAAUCUUUCUGCCACAGCCUCCUAAAGUGCUGGGAUUACAGGCAUGAGCCACCAUGCCUAGCAUAGAGUAUUACAUUAUUUUCAAAGUCUUAUUCUAAGAGACAUUUAUUGACUUUGGCCUAAAUAACUCAAUAUUAUAUCUCUGAAACUUUUUUUGACAAAUUUUGGGGCAUGAUGAUGAGAAAAAUGGGUUUGAAACUUUCUAAUAAGAGUUAACUUAGAGCCAUUUAAGGAGGAACAAACACAAAUUAUCAGAAAAAUAAAAGAAAGGUCAAAUGCAAAAGUUCUGUGGCAAAGAUGAUGAUAGUAAAGAAUAUAUGUUUGUGACUUAUGGUGGCUUUUAAUUUGUUCUUGAAUUUCUGAGUAAUUUAAAGGUUAACAUUUAAAGAAUCUACAUUAUAGAUAACAUUUUAUUGCAAGUAAAUGUAUUUCAAAAUUUGUUAUUGGUUUUGUAUGAGAUUAUUCUCAGCCUACUUCAUUUUCAAGCUACAUUAUUUUAUUAAUGUAGUUUGAUGAUCUUACAGCAGAGCUGGAAGCUGGAUCUUCAAAAUAUGUCUGUUUGAUUCAGAACAAUCAAGGUAUUCAGCAGGAGUUAGUACGUAUGAAAAAAAUACAACAGGAAUGCAAAAAACUUGAGGAGGCUAAAAAGAUGUUGGAAGAAGUAAUAUUAAAUCUUAAAAAAUGUAUGGAAAGUACUCAUUGGUAAAGACACAUUGGUGAAGUACAAAAAUAUAAACUGCAUCUAGAAGAAAGGGCAAUGCAGGCAAUGGAAAAAUUAGUAGAAAUCCCCUUACAGGUUAGUUUGUACAAUCAGGUAAGUUUAUUAAUAAUCUGCUUUUAUUUAUUUCACUGAAAAUUAUAUUUUGGAGAUAUAUAUAUAUUUAUCUUGUUUCCUCUGCCUCUCUUAUAGUAAUUUGCCUUGUAGAGUUCUAGCUAAAAGGUGGCAUCUGUUUUUACUUUCAUAUGUUUAAAUUUCCAUCAUUAUAACAAAACUGAUUUUUCACAGUAAUGAUUCUCAGUGUGGAGUCAGUUGAUUAUUAAGAUCCAUUGGCAUAAGGUUACAUCCUCUGCCUAUAAAAAUCCUGGAAGAAAACCCAGGAAGUAUUCAUCUGGACAUUGCAGUUGGCAAUGAAUUUAUGGUUAACCUGCCGACGCCCAGGGGCUCCUCCAUCUCCACCGUGUUUUCCUCGGGCUGAAGCCCAAAGUCCCCCAUUUUCUCCUCAAACGGCUCACAGAGCCACACGCAGGAGGACAGCGUGUGGACUCAGUGGCUGACCUGGGAAGCCACAUCUGAAGGAACUGCUGGGUGACUAUGGCCAUAAGUCAAUCAAAGCAGACUUUCCCUGGCUUGCUGCGCUACACUGAUUUUGUUUUCAUAUUUUCAAGGAAGCAGAAGGAGGUCCUAGGAAAUUUGCCCAAUGCAGAUGCUGACAAGAGUGGUAACAUGAAAAAGAUUACCCAGAAGGAAAACAAGAGCUAUUUUCUAAACAUCUGAAAUCUGUGUAGGCUUUUGGAAAAGUGAAACUAGAUGCAAAGCACAAUGAUAUAAUUCUGGCAAUUUCCACUGACACAGAACUCAGUCAAUCUGAAUUAAUCUAAGGGUUAUAAGGAAAAUGGCACUCCAAGAAACACCUAUUAACAUCACUCAGCUGCUGUGAAAUAGGCUUACAGGCAACAUGGAAUGUCAAUUAUCCAAUGUUUAAAGUCAGUGAUACAGAUUAGACUACAAUUUCUAUGUCUCAUAAAGUCUUCUUUAAAAGACUGACAGAUGAUUUAUCUCAUAUGUAGACAAUGAUUCUCAGCAGUUAACUAGCACAACUUGCCAAUAUCAAUUGCUUGAGAAAAUCAGAUAAUUGCUUGAGAAAAUUAGGACAUUGCUUGAGGAAGUUAGGUAAUUAAAGAAAUUACUUUUUUUUUUAAGAAUAGUUUAAUAUUUUGGCAAGCAGACUUUAAAGUAGAUUGAUAAUAUUUUAAAGCCUACUUUUAAAGAAGUAGCAAUAUAACAUGUUUAAUUAUGAAAAAUAAUAAUGUUGGAAACAAUUCAAUUUUCUAUCACAGAGAAUUUCACAAAUAUAGAAAUACCAUCUCAAUAAUUAGAAGAAGUAGCAGCAAUUUCUGUCCUUUUUAUGCAAGUUACUCCUAGUCCAUUUAUUUGGUUUUAAAUAGUGUUUUUAAAAUUUGUUUUCAAACAAGGCUAAUCAUAAAUAAUAGAUUAUAUUUUACAAUAGUUGAAGAUAACAAAAAAUAAGUGCCAUUUAAAAAAUUGUAUUAGAUUGUUUAAAAAUGUUGUGGGUACAUAGUAUGUGUAUGUAUCUGUGGGGUCCAUGAGAUGUUUUGAUACAGGCAUGCAUUGUGAAAUAAGCACAUCUUGGGGAAUGGGGUAUCCCUCCCCUCAAGCAUUUAUCCUUCAAGUUAUAAAAAAUUCAAUUACAGUCUUAGUUAUUUAAAAAUGUACAAUUAAAUUAUUAUUGAAUAUAGUC
RNAcentral lists this long non-coding RNA (3509 nucleotides) under Pongo abelii (Sumatran orangutan). RNAcentral describes it as "lincRNA". Lineage: Eukaryota; Metazoa; Chordata; Mammalia; Primates; Hominidae. The record is from RNAcentral.